This 460-nucleotide unclassified non-coding RNA is filed under the name Hevea brasiliensis (rubber tree). The record is from RNAcentral. Lineage: Eukaryota; Viridiplantae; Streptophyta; Magnoliopsida; Malpighiales; Euphorbiaceae.
CUUUAUCCAGGCUUGGGACCAGCUAAGCACAAAUUACUUAGGCAAAGUUGAGCCAAUAAAAUGAUAAUAAAUAUAAUUUAUAAAUAUAGAUAUAUGUUAAUUUUAUUUAAAUUUUCAUGUUAAGCAUUAAGAAACUAAAACCUAACAUAUUUAGGUGAACUUAUUUAGAGACAUACUUUAUUAUAUUUAUGUAAUUAUAGAUUUUUGUGGUGUUCUUCUUUGGUGACUAUUCGGGUAUACUUCAUACUUUGUCAUUGUGGGAUUUGGGGAGGGUUAGAUGUAGGUAACAUUUCUUUGGCAUUGCAAGAAGGCUGUGUUUUCAUGCUUUGAACCAGUGCCUUUAGAACAAUACAAGACCAAAUUUUUUUUAGGUUAUAUGACUACGUGAUGUAGAAUAAAGAACACAAAAGGAUGAGAGAGAAAUUUUCUAAGAAGGAAGAGAAACAAAUUCUCUAGAGAA